UUCAUUUUCAUAAGCGGAGGAAAAGAAACUAACAAGGAUUCCCUUAGUAACGGCGAGUGAACCGGGAAGAGCUCAAAUUUGAAAUCUGGCUGUCUUCGAUAGUCCGAGUUGUAAUCUAUAGAAGCGUUUUCCGUGCUGAACUGUGUAUAAGUCCCUUGGAACAGGGUAUCAAAGAGGGUGACAAUCCCGUACUUUACACAAUCAUCAGUGCUCUGUGAUACGUUCUCUACGAGUCGAGUUGUUUGGGAAUGCAGCUCAAAAUGGGUGGUAAAUUCCAUCUAAAGCUAAAUAUUGGCGAGAGACCGAUAGCGAACAAGUACCGUGAGGGAAAGAUGAAAAGCACUUUGGAAAGAGAGUUAAACAGUACGUGAAAUUGUUAAAAGGGAAACGAUUGAAGUCAGUCGUGUUUAUUGGAUUCAGCCGGUCUUCGGUGUACUUCCUUUAAACGGGUCAACAUCAGUUUUGUCCGGUGGAUAAAGGCAGUAGGAAUGUGGCUCCCUCGGGAGUGUUAUAGCCUAUUGUCACAUACACUGGAGGAGACUGAGGACUGCAGCUCGCCUUUUGGCCGGGGUUCGCCCACGUUCGAGCUUAGGAUGUUGACAUAAUGGCUUUAAACGACCCGUCUUGAACCGGGCCA
Molecule: ribosomal RNA, 637 nt
Filed under: Apiotrichum laibachii
Lineage: Eukaryota; Fungi; Basidiomycota; Tremellomycetes; Trichosporonales; Trichosporonaceae
Description: LSU rRNA
Rfam family: Eukaryotic large subunit ribosomal RNA
Source: RNAcentral